GAUGAACGCUGGCGGCGUGCCUAAUACAUGCAAGUCGAGCGAACAGACGAGGAGCUUGCUCCUCUGACGUUAGCGGCGGACGGGUGAGUAACACGUGGAUAACCUACCUAUAAGACGGGGAUAACUUCGGGAAACCGGAGCUAAUACCGGAGAAUAUAUUGCACCGCAUGGUUCGAUAGUGAAAGACGGUUUUGCUGUCACUUAUAGAUGGAUCCGCGCCGCAUUAGCUAGUUGGUACGGUAACGGCUUACCACGGCAACGAGGCGUAGCCGAGCUGAGAGGGUGGUCGCCCACACUGGAACUGAGACACGGACCAGACGCCUGCGGGAGGGCGCAGUAGGGAAUCUGCCGCAGUGGGCGGAAGCCUGGCGGAGCGACGCGGCGUGAGUGAUGAAGGUCUUCGGAUCGUAAUACUCUGUUAUUAGGGAAGAACCAAUGUGUAAGUAGCUAUGGCCGUCGUGACGGUACCUAAUAAGAAAGCAACGGCUAACUACGUG
RNAcentral lists this ribosomal RNA (497 nucleotides) under uncultured bacterium. Its description in RNAcentral is "partial 16S ribosomal RNA". It matches the Rfam family "Bacterial small subunit ribosomal RNA", at positions 28 to 507 of the family's 1533-position model. The record is from RNAcentral.